This 123-nucleotide ribosomal RNA is filed under the name Pteropus alecto (black flying fox). Lineage: Eukaryota; Metazoa; Chordata; Mammalia; Chiroptera; Pteropodidae. The record is from RNAcentral.
GUCUACAGCCAUGCCACCCUGAAUGUGCCUGAUCUUGUCUGAUCUCGGAAGCUAAGCAGGGUCGGGCCUGGUUAGUAUUUGUUUGGAUGGGAGACCACCUAGGAAGACCAAGUGCUGUAUGCG